Molecule: transfer RNA, 72 nt
Filed under: bacterium
Lineage: Bacteria
Description: tRNA-Arg
Rfam family: tRNA
About the family: Transfer RNA (tRNA) molecules are approximately 80 nucleotides in length. Their secondary structure includes four short double-helical elements and three loops (D, anti-codon, and T loops). Further hydrogen bonds mediate the characteristic L-shaped molecular structure. tRNAs have two regions of fundamental functional importance: the anti-codon, which is responsible for specific mRNA codon recognition, and the 3' end, to which the tRNAs corresponding amino acid is attached (by aminoacyl-tRNA synthetases). tRNAs cope with the degeneracy of the genetic code in two manners: having more than one tRNA (with a specific anti-codon) for a particular amino acid; and 'wobble' base-pairing, i.e. permitting non-standard base-pairing at the 3rd anti-codon position.
Source: RNAcentral
GCCCCCAUAGUUCAACGGAUAGAAUGCGAGCUUGCGGAGUUCGUGAUUGAGGUUCGAUUCCUCAUGGGGGCA